RNAcentral lists this long non-coding RNA (1108 nucleotides) under Anser cygnoides (Swan goose). RNAcentral's name for it is "lncRNA (ENSACDG00005010402.1)". The record is from RNAcentral. Lineage: Eukaryota; Metazoa; Chordata; Aves; Anseriformes; Anatidae.
GUUAUUAUACAUAGAGCUGGAAGUUGGGAGCAGUGACAGUUGUUUAACAUCCUCUGUUGAGAGACCCUGUCUCUAACUAGUUACAUGAUGCCAAACUUUAAGUAUUGAAGCUGAAUUGUAUGUGGGGGGUCUGCUUUAUACAGCCACUUUUUUUUCUUUUUUUUAAUCUGAAAAAAAAAAUGGCGAAGCUAUUUCUGAGCUGGAGGGCAAGAUAAAAUAGGUUUUUUGACCACGUUAAAAAUAUCUCAGCUGUUUCAUUAAGGAGCUCUAACAUCUCAUAAUUUGGGGCAAGGAAGAUUUUAUCAGGAUGAUGGUUUGGAUCAGAAUGUACUUUUGUCAGAAAAAGUGUGCUUUUGUCAGUGCCUUUUCAGAUGUGCUCAGCUGCAUGCUCCUUGAAGGGAAGUAGGUCCAGUGUGACAGCUGAGACAUGUGAUGCCAAUAAAGAAAUAAAAGGUUGUUAGCAAGGGAUGAAGUAUUAAGGAGCCGGAUGUUGUACAAGCAAAUAACAGUUCUGUAGGGAAGGAGGCGUUGUGGAGGAGGAACCAUUAAGCUGAAAGGAGCGGCCUUUCAGUUGAGAAGGUCAUACCUAUGCGCUGAGAACUGCACCCGGAGCAGCAACCCAAGGGUGGAAGAAGACCCCAACGCUCUGUUGGCUGCCUGCUGUCUGACGAGGGCUCUGAAGCGCUCCCGAAAGAGAUGUGAGAUGUCCUACGGUGCUGCUUCCACGCUGGACCCCUUGGCAGCAUAACCUGCUAGCUGAGCAGUGUUCGGCCACCUUGCUCUGGAAGGAGUUACAAGAGAGUGCGGUAAGGGCUUAACUCCUUAUACUAUGCUCAUAAUACGGUAGAGGCGGGAGGACAUUUGCUUAGAUGACCUUGUGUGGAGUUUCUGGCAGUGCAAGUGAACUUUUUUAUCAUGGGAAAAGCAAAGCUUGGAGGAGACCCGAGCUGUGAGAAAACUUGCAGUGGUAAAUUUUGCUAAUUCUGAUUGUUCCUGUACAACACCCGAGUUGAACACAUCACAGGAUGAAUGUUUUUCUGCUGGUAGGUAGCAUUCACGAUAUUAACGCUUAGCUGAUGUUUAUUUUCAGGCUCUUUAUUUUAAGACA